RNAcentral lists this ribosomal RNA (465 nucleotides) under uncultured bacterium. RNAcentral's name for it is "partial 16S ribosomal RNA". It matches the Rfam family "Bacterial small subunit ribosomal RNA", at positions 338 to 795 of the family's 1533-position model. The record is from RNAcentral.
CCUACGGGAGGCAGCAGUAGGGAAUCUUCCACAAUGGGCGCAAGCCUGAUGGAGCAACACCGCGUGAGUGAAGAAGGGUUUCGGCUCGUAAAGUUCUGUUGUUGGAGAAGAACGUGCGUGAGAGUAACUGUUCACGCAGUGACGGUAUCUACCCAGAAAGUACCGGCUAACUACGUGCCAGCAGCCGCGGUAAUACGUAGGUGGCAAGCGUUAUCCGGAUUUACUGGGCGUAAAGCGAGCGCAGGCGGUUGCGUAGGUCAGAAGUGAAAGACUUCGGCUUAACCGAAGAAGUGCAACGGAAACCGGGCGACUUGAGUGCAAGAGAGGACAGUGGAACUCCAUGUGUAGCGGUGGAAUGCGUAGAUAUAUGGAGGAACACCAAUGGCGAAGGCGGCUGUCUGGUCUGCAACUGACGCUGAGGCUCGAAAGCAUGGGUAGCGAACAGGAUUAGAUACCCUUGUAGUC